This 1404-nucleotide long non-coding RNA is filed under the name Nicotiana tabacum (common tobacco). RNAcentral's name for it is "long non-coding RNA (NTAB_LNC017922)". The record is from RNAcentral. Lineage: Eukaryota; Viridiplantae; Streptophyta; Magnoliopsida; Solanales; Solanaceae.
UCCCCUCUCAAGGAAGAAUGUUUCUGCUUCAAGUGUAUCUUUCAAGCAUUAAAAUACAACUUUUCACAUUACAUUAGUCUCCCAUUCUUUGUCGAGAUUCUCAUAUGAGCGAAUAUGGAGAUGAUAAACUGAUGAUGCCUGGUAAGAACAUGCAAGAAGGAGACUUAAUGGUGUGUCUACCGAGAAAACUUGCAUUACCGAAACCCGAAAAAUAUGGAUAUUCCGUAUAAUUACAUUUUGUACUGUUCUGUCACCAAACAAACGGGAAAAACAGGAACGUUUUUCUCCACAAAGGCCAAGUUAUACUUCAUAAUCGCAUAAACUGUUUAUGAUCACACUCUGUACAUGGUUUUACGUUGACCAGCACCAUUUCUAAGAGUCAGUCGUUCCAUAUAGAACCAACCCAAUAGUCCAGCACACUGCACUGGAAUCACCUAGAAUAAUCUAGAUUUACCAACCAACAACAUUUCAAUCCAACUCUUCAAUUAUUGCUAAUUCAUAAUCUGGUAAUGAAGACAGGCAAUCUUGCACUAGUCAACGUAGUUGGAAGGUUACAAAAAUAGUACAUAAAAGCUGGUGUACUAUGAAUAAAGCCACCGAGUUUGUAGCGAUCAAAUUAACCAAAAAAGGACCAAUGUAAGCGCUUCUACAAAUAACAUGUCAACAUUAACUGAUGCAAUUUAAAUCCUUCGACCAAAACUAAGAAUUAGAAGGCAUUAUAUAUUGUCAAUUCCCGAUUAAUUUAGACUGACAAACCAACUAAUAUUCAGAGGUGUCAGCCAAAACUUGGUGAUUAACACUACUUAAUGAAUUAAACAAGUAAAGUUGCAAUAAUUUCCCCUUGGAAGUGUCAAUGAAGGGGAAUUUGUACAAGAACAGAAGCUACAAAUAUCUCAAUCGCUUCUCAAAUCCAAGAACUUAACCAAAUCUAUAAAUAACUAGACUACUUCACAUGGUAGGGAAAAUGCAUAAAACCAGAAUGACAGAAACCACAAAUUUAGAACCCCAAAAGCUGUUACCUUUAAUUAUAAACGUGAAUAAAUUAACAUAAUGAUUAACUGAAAAUGCAAAAGCAAAUAUAGAACAUAAGAUAUCAUCUGGUUCUGGGUGUGAAAAUCAAAUAUGAAUAAAUCUGAAAAAUAAGAUUUUACCUCAGACCCACAUCUUUGAGCCACUUCUCCUUAAUACCCCUUCGUGGAUUAUUAUACCAUCUCAAGAAUCAUGGAGAAUUUGUAGUACCAAACUGAGACUAAGGCACUAAGCCAAAAAAAGAAGAAAAAACAAAAGCAGAAAAAAAUAAUAAGACAAACUAAGAAAGAGUAAUACUUAAUUAUUACUUAAAACUAUGUAAUAACUAUAAGGAAAAAACAAAGAGGUUAGUUUGGUAACACCAUUGAAGAAGCU